Molecule: unclassified non-coding RNA, 325 nt
Filed under: uncultured fungus
Lineage: Eukaryota; Fungi
Description: partial contains 5.8S ribosomal RNA and internal transcribed spacer 2
Rfam family: 5.8S ribosomal RNA (bases 1-133)
Source: RNAcentral
UGGUUCUGGCAUNGAUGAAGAACGCAGCGAAAUGCGAUAAGUAAUGUGAAUUGCAGAAUUCAGUGAAUCAUCGAAUCUUUGAACGCACAUUGCGCCCGCCAGCAUUCUGGCGGGCAUGCCUGUUCGAGCGUCAUUUCAACCCUCAAGCACCGCUUGGCGUUGGGGCUCUACGGUUGACGUAGGCCCCCAAAGGUAGUGGCGGACCCUCCCGGAGCCUCCUUUGCGCAGUAACUUUUGUCUCGCACUGGGAUCCGGAGGGACUCUAGCCGUAAAACCCCCCAAUUUUCCAAAGGUUGACCUCGGAUCAGGUAGGAAUACCCGCUGA